GGAAGGGUUGGUUCUUGUCCUCGGUUCCUCCCUUCUCUAUCUGCUUCCUGGCUGCCAUAGGGUGAGCUGCUUUUCCUCUACCAUGCUGUUUCUGCCAAUCAACUGUGUUCCAAACCCUCUGAAACUAUGAGCCAGAAUAACCUCCCCUUCUUUAAUUUGCAGGUGUUGGAUAUUUUCUCCCAGCAGUGGGAAAGUGAAGAUGAAAUUAAGUGCCCUCCAUCUGCCAACGUGUUGUUUUAUUACCUCUGGAAGCUUCAAGGCCAAGAGACCACCAUACAGUUAGUUAGAGCUUAAAGAGAAUGCAGCUCAUGAAGAUAUUAGUAUCUGCCUACUCUCAAGAAAGGAAACUGCCACCUCCAAUAUUUAAUGAUUUGAUGUACAGUAGCUAUCACUUCUGCCUUCAUCACUGAACCCUUCAACUGACUACACAAAUGACUAUAAAGAUUAUAGAUUGUUAACUCUUUAAGAAAUGACUGCUGAAAUCAUUUAUCUCAAGCAUCUCUGUGGCCAACGUGAAACCGAAGCCUAGAAUGCCUACAUGACUUUUGCAGGGACACAUGGUAAGUGGCAGAAUCAGGGCCUCAGUUCCACAUUUUGUGGAUGAAUCAGGGCGAAUAUUUUUGAAAGUCUGGUAACAGUAUGGCACAGUCACCAAUUAACCAGAAUAUGGCCUGUGAUUGCAUUGGUGUGCCACCAGGUACCACCCCCUACUGGAUUAGCAUGUAUAGCUCAGUACAUUUUAAGGGAUAAAGACAAAAAAAGGGUCCCUUAUAAUUAAGUGAUCUGAAGAAGCUAAUAAAAUAAUUUGUUCUUCGUUGUUAGGUUUACUUUUUCACUUUUUUCUAUUGUCUUCGUUGCCACUAAUCCUUUGAAAGCUGUCUUCUAUUUGACGGUGGGUUCGUUGUUAUUCAUGCUAAUCUCCCCUGCUGUCCCUUAUGUUCUCCUGGCUGGUCAAAAUUCUCAGGCCCUCCCCACUUUGUAUCCCCUUGCCCACCUUCUGUGUUAAGCCUUGAUCUUGUUUGUAAAAGUAACGUGGUAUGUAUGCCUAUAAUUAUGCUUUAGCUCAUGCUACACAAAGUGGAGGGAUUAAAAAUAUAUAUAUAUUUAAGGCCUUGGUUUUUAUAUGGAUUUUUUUCAAAACCUAUGAUAACUCUUGUCUUCUUUCAAACUCAUGAG
This 1176-nucleotide long non-coding RNA is filed under the name Chinchilla lanigera (long-tailed chinchilla). Its description in RNAcentral is "lncRNA (ENSCLAG00000024740.1)". Lineage: Eukaryota; Metazoa; Chordata; Mammalia; Rodentia; Chinchillidae. The record is from RNAcentral.